This 126-nucleotide ribosomal RNA is filed under the name Bacillus sp. (in: firmicutes). Its description in RNAcentral is "Bacillus sp. (in: Bacteria) partial 16S ribosomal RNA". It matches the Rfam family "Bacterial small subunit ribosomal RNA", at positions 1 to 120 of the family's 1533-position model. Lineage: Bacteria; Bacillati; Bacillota; Bacilli; Caryophanales; Bacillaceae. The record is from RNAcentral.
UUUUUUGGAGAGUUUGAUCCUGGCUCAGGACGAACGCUGGCGGCGUGCCUAAUACAUGCAAGUCGAGCGAACCAAUAAGAAGCUUGCUUUUUGUUGGUUAGCGGCGGACGGGUGAGUAACACGUGG